Aspergillus niger is the source of this 81-nucleotide non-coding RNA. Lineage: Eukaryota; Fungi; Ascomycota; Eurotiomycetes; Eurotiales; Aspergillaceae. The record is from Rfam.
CCCGGGCUAGCUCAAUUGGCAGAGCGCACGUCUAAUUAACCAAUUAUCGUGAGGUCGCAAGUUCGAGUCUUGCGCUUGGGC